RNAcentral lists this non-coding RNA (147 nucleotides) under Gorilla gorilla gorilla (western lowland gorilla). The record is from Rfam by way of RNAcentral. Lineage: Eukaryota; Metazoa; Chordata; Mammalia; Primates; Hominidae.
GCCAGGCAUGGUGGCGCUUGCCUGUAAUCCCAGCUACUUGGAGGCUGAGGCAGGAGAAUCACUUGAACCUGGGAGGUGGAGGUUGCAGUGAGCCCAGAUCGCACCACUGCACUCUAGCCUGGGUGACAGAACGAGACUCUGUCUCAA